This is a long non-coding RNA of Tetranychus urticae (two-spotted spider mite), 228 nucleotides long. RefSeq lists it as uncharacterized. Lineage: Eukaryota; Metazoa; Arthropoda; Arachnida; Trombidiformes; Tetranychidae. The record is from RefSeq and is a predicted model, not a curated record.
UCAUUUUGCUAUCAGUUCUCAUAAUUGUUACCUUGACUCACUUCAUUGCAUUUGAUACAGUGGUGAAACAUGAAUUCCAUUUUUAGCUAUUUGAUUUCGAUCGGUUUGGGCCUUUUAAUUUGUCUAUCCUUCUCGACAAAGUGUAAAAGUAACGAUGAAUGCCUUGGAGAGCAAAUUUGUCUGGGUGGCUCGUGUCUCUGAAAAUAAAUAGAUGAAUUUAUCUGAGUA